GACGAACGCUGGCGGCGUGCUUAACACAUGCAAGUCGAACGGAAAGGCCCUGCUUUUGUGGGGUGCUCGAGUGGCGAACGGGUGAGUAGCACGUGAGUAACCUGCCCUUGACUUUGGGAUAACUUCAGGAAACUGGGGCUAAUACCGGAUAGCAGCUCCUGCUGCAUGGUGGGGGUUGGAAAGUUUCGGCGGUUGGGGAUGGACUCGCGGCUUAUCAGCUUGUUGGUGGGGUAGUGGCUUACCAAGGCUUUGACGGGUAGCCGGCCUGAGAGGGUGACCGGCCACAUUGGGACUGAGAUACGGCCCAGACGCCUACGGGAGGCAGCAGUGGGGAAUAUUGCACAAUGGGCGGAAGCCUGAUGCAGCAACGCCGCGUGCGGGAUGACGGCCUUCGGGUUGUAAACCGCUUUCGCCUGUGACGAAGCGUGAGUGACGGUAAUGGGUAAAGAAGCACCGGCUAACUACGU
This 467-nucleotide ribosomal RNA is filed under the name uncultured bacterium. RNAcentral describes it as "partial 16S ribosomal RNA". It matches the Rfam family "Bacterial small subunit ribosomal RNA", at positions 28 to 506 of the family's 1533-position model. The record is from RNAcentral.